CCUACGGGUGGCAGCAGUGGGGAAUAUUGGGCAAUGGGCGCAAGCCUGACCCAGCAACGCCGCGUGAAGGAAGAAGGCUUUCGGGUUGUAAACUUCUUUUCUCAGGGACGAAGCAAGUGACGGUACCUGAGGAAUAAGCCACGGCUAACUACGUGCCAGCAGCCGCGGUAAUACGUAGGUGGCAAGCGUUAUCCGGAUUUACUGGGUGUAAAGGGCGUGUAGGCGGGACGGCAAGUCAGAUGUGAAAACCACGGGCUCAACCGGUGGCCUGCAUUUGAAACUGUAGUUCUUGAGUACUGGAGAGGCAGACGGAAUUCCUAGUGUAGCGGUGAAAUGCGUAGAUAUGUGGAAGAACACCGAUGGCGAAGGCAGCCUCCUGGGACGCAACUGACGCUCAUACACGAAAGCGUGGGGAGCAAACAGGAUUAGAUACCCCAGUAGUC
RNAcentral lists this ribosomal RNA (443 nucleotides) under uncultured bacterium. RNAcentral describes it as "partial 16S ribosomal RNA". It matches the Rfam family "Bacterial small subunit ribosomal RNA", at positions 338 to 795 of the family's 1533-position model. The record is from RNAcentral.